Alosa sapidissima (American shad) is the source of this 89-nucleotide long non-coding RNA. RefSeq lists it as uncharacterized. NCBI's taxonomy places the organism in Eukaryota, Metazoa, Chordata, Actinopteri, Clupeiformes, Clupeidae. The transcript is spliced from 3 exons. The record is from RefSeq and is a predicted model, not a curated record.
GUGUGCUCACAAGAGAGAGAGAGAGCGCGGCAGGUUCCAACUGGCUUGUCAUUGUUGAUAAUUGAUAUCUCCUUUUUAUAAGAAACUUU